GAUGAACGCUAGCUACAGGCUUAACACAUGCAAGUCGAGGGAGCGGCGCACGGGUGCAUAACACGUAUCCAACCUGCCCUUUACUCGGGGAUAGCCUUUCGAAAGAAAGAUUAAUACCCGAUAUAAAGGAUGGGGAUGCGUUACAUUAGGGUGUUGGUGAGGUAACGGCCCACGAAGCCUUCGAUGGAUAGGGGUUCUGAGAGGAAGGUCCCCCACAUUGGAACUGAGACACGGUCCAAACUCCUACGGGAGGAAGCAGUGAGGAAUAUUGGUCAAUGGGCGGUAGCCUGAACCAGCCAAGUAGAGUGAAGGAUGAAGGCUUAUGGGUCGUAAACUUCUUUUAUAUAAGAAUAUGUAUUAUAUGAAUAAGGAUCGGCUAACUCCGUGCCAGCAGCCGCGGUAAUAC
Molecule: ribosomal RNA, 406 nt
Filed under: uncultured bacterium
Lineage: Bacteria
Description: partial 16S ribosomal RNA
Rfam family: Bacterial small subunit ribosomal RNA
Source: RNAcentral